This 405-nucleotide ribosomal RNA is filed under the name Triticum aestivum (bread wheat). RNAcentral's name for it is "partial small subunit ribosomal RNA". The record is from RNAcentral. Lineage: Eukaryota; Viridiplantae; Streptophyta; Magnoliopsida; Poales; Poaceae.
AUGCUGGGUUGCGCGUUUGUGAGGCAGGAGUUGGCAUCGAGCUUUGAUUGGGUCUUUGGAGCAUUCCUAGAGGCUAUGGAUGGCAAACCUCCUGACAACUUCAUCACCGAUCAGGAUGGUGCGAUGACGCAGUCAAUACAGAGCAUCUUUCCAACCACCGUGCACCGUUGUUGUCGAUGGCACAUCAUGAAAAAGGCUCAGGAAAAGGUUGGUUGGUUGCUGUGCCGGAAUCCAGGACUCUCUGAUGAUUUCAACAAGUGUGUUGACUUCAGCUUCACUAUAGACGAGUUUGAGCAGAAUUGGGCUGGGUUAAUGAUGAAGUAUGAGGCUAUGGCACACACGCACUUUGAGAAGUUGCACGAACACAGGUCAACUUGGGUGCCGUGUGUUGGAAAUAUGCCUUAG